AAGGUUGCUUUUGUUUGUGAUCCGAAAAACAAGACGACCUUUUUGUUCCAUGUAGGCAGAUUUAUGUUUUCUUAUCAAUCCAAUGUGGAAAGUGAACAAAUCCGGGACCAAUAUUGUUUUUGGCUUUGCGUCAAAGAGCUGUUUAUUAAAAAAAAACUAGAAAAGCCGGUUAUUGCAAUAAACCGACCUUUGCCUCUUCCCAAGAGCCACCUCUCCUCAUCCCUCGUGGCAUUUUGUUCUCAUCCAAUCUUACACGCCCUCUUGUAUUGCCAAUUGUGAU
This is a long non-coding RNA of Arabidopsis thaliana (thale cress), 280 nucleotides long. RefSeq annotates it as other RNA. The record is from RefSeq. Lineage: Eukaryota; Viridiplantae; Streptophyta; Magnoliopsida; Brassicales; Brassicaceae. The transcript has a single exon.